GUGACCUCAAAUCAGGCAGGACUACCCGCUGAACUUAAGCAUAUCAAUAAGCGGAGGAAAAGAAACUAACAAGGAUUCCCCUAGUAACUGCGAGUGAAGCGGGAAAAGCUCAAAUUUAAAAUCUGGCAGUCUUAUGGCUGUCCGAGUUGUAAUCUAGAGAAGUGUUAUCCGCGCUGGACCGUGUACAAGUCUCCUGGAAUGGAGCAUCAUAGAGGGUGAGAAUCCCGUCUUUGACAUGGACUACCAGGGCUUUGUGAUGCGCUCUCAAAGAGUCGAGUUGUUUGGGAAUGCAGCUCAAAAUGGGUGGUAAAUUCCAUCUAAAGCUAAAUAUUGGCGAGAGACCGAUAGCGAACAAGUACCGUGAGGGAAAGAUGAAAAGAACUUUGGAAAGAGAGUUAAACAGUACGUGAAAUUGCUGAAAGGGAAACGCUUGAAGUCAGUCGCGUCAUCCAGGGAUCAACCUUGCUUUUGCUUGGUGCACUUUCUGGUUUGAUGGGUCAGCAUCAAUUUUGACCAUUGGAAAAAGGCUGAGGGAAUGUGGCAUCUUUGGAUGUGUUAUAGCCCUUGGUCACAUACAAUGGUUGGGAUUGAGGAACUCAGCACGCCGAAAGGUCGGGUUUCAACCACGUUCGUGCUAG
This 638-nucleotide ribosomal RNA is filed under the name Cortinarius angelesianus. RNAcentral describes it as "eukaryotic LSU rRNA". It matches the Rfam family "Eukaryotic large subunit ribosomal RNA", at positions 1 to 630 of the family's 3401-position model. The record is from RNAcentral. Lineage: Eukaryota; Fungi; Basidiomycota; Agaricomycetes; Agaricales; Cortinariaceae.